AAGAAACUAGUAGAUUAAUUUGUUUAAGUGUAUGCCAUCCAAAGCCAACCAAAACAAACACCGACCAGUAGACCUAAACUAGCUUGAAAACUAAACCUGGUCCCAAAUUAUAUUGCGAAAGUGCCGUGACGUGUCGAGACAAAAGCCAUUUCCGCCGUGUGGUAGAAAAGAGUGCGACAGAACCGAAAAAACGCACGGAGUGAACGGACGCAGUCAUAGCAGCCGGGGAGCAGAUUUCUGGAGGCCGAGUGUUCAACUUUACAGAAUAAGCCAUUGUUGGCCGAAGCUUACGAAUCUCGCUCCAUAGGGAACGAUCGGGAGUCCGCGAGUUAGUUGCCGGAGUAAGAAGCACGUGGGAUUAGAAGGCAGACUGAGCUUCACCUUUUGGUGCAACACGAAUAUCAGUACUCCGGUCCCUUGCUUCGUGUUUCGCAGACAACUGCCGAUCGCCCAGAAAUCUCCGCCGGCGCACUGUCACGUGGAUUGUGAGUGGUAGGUACGGAAUAAUACUCCAACUCCGCGACAGACAAUAAGACCGUCGUUCCUUCCAGCAGACUCACUCCAAUCUUCAAGCGUCGAACGGGCGGGUCAAAUUCUAGUGCAGGAACCCGAACAAACAAGCAGCCCCGUCACAGGGUAAGAAACGCCGUUUCAGUUUAAUGGAACCUUCUGCUAAUGGAUGGAUUCGUUAGGGCUUUGUUUGUACCCCACAGAUUGCGACUGCGUAACCUCCAAGAAGCGAAGCAGGCGAGCACAUCCGAAUCGGCCCUCGUUCAGACAGCGCGACGUUUCGUACUCCUCGGUACGCAAUCCCUCAGCCAUCGGUCGCCCGCGGCGAUAGCGUCAACUCAGAUCCAGUGGAGAGGACACGGUAGGGCACCCGCGGGAAUUGGAAGGGCAUCGGAAGACAAGCUUUUCUGGUGAGGCCCCGAGUCAACGCAACCCGGGGUGCGGUGCGCCAAACCAACCGCAGGCCAAGUGAAUGCUCGAGGUCCCGCUCGCUCCAGAAGGUCCAACAGAGCAGCACGGUCUACCUCGCUCCUGCCGGCCAAAUAGAGGCCAACGGUCCGGCACGUCACCAGAAGGCACAGUUGAGGGCGCAUGAGAGAAAACGGUCGAAAAGUCGAUCCAACGGUCGGUGAGCGAACUAUACAUAGACUUUGUAAAACGAUGCAUUAAUAUUAAGAAGCAAGCGUAGGGAAAGCUAGGCUCUAAAAUGGGCAAUAAAUUAUAUGUAAGAAUGCUAUAAAUUUGGGUUGCACGUUGUGAUAUUUGGCGUAUUCCUUACACACCGUGGUGGGAAGGUAUGCAGUAAGUUAAC
Aedes albopictus (Asian tiger mosquito) is the source of this 1321-nucleotide RNA transcript. RefSeq lists it as uncharacterized. The transcript has 3 exons. NCBI's taxonomy places the organism in Eukaryota, Metazoa, Arthropoda, Insecta, Diptera, Culicidae. The record is from RefSeq and is a predicted model, not a curated record.